UACGUAGGGUGCGAGCGUUAAUCGGAAUUACUGGGCGUAAAGUGUGGGCAGGUGGCCGCGCAAGUCGAGUGUGAAAUCCCCGAGCUUAACUUGGGAAUUGCGCUCGAAACUACGUGGCUCGAGUGUGGCAGAGGAAGGUGGAAUUCCACGUGUAGCGGUGAAAUGCGUAGAGAUGUGGAGGAACACCGAUGGCGAAGGCAGCCUUCUGGGCCAACACUGACGCUCAUGCACGAAAGCGUGGGGAGCAAACAGG
This 253-nucleotide ribosomal RNA is filed under the name uncultured bacterium. RNAcentral describes it as "partial 16S ribosomal RNA". It matches the Rfam family "Bacterial small subunit ribosomal RNA", at positions 524 to 776 of the family's 1533-position model. The record is from RNAcentral.